This 599-nucleotide long non-coding RNA is filed under the name Cyanistes caeruleus (blue tit). RNAcentral describes it as "lncRNA (ENSCCEG00000005773.1)". The record is from RNAcentral. Lineage: Eukaryota; Metazoa; Chordata; Aves; Passeriformes; Paridae.
AUGCAGCUGUCCCCUCAACUGCUGAGCCCCAUAUCCUGGGAGGACAGCGUGGAUACAGCACCCAUUGCAGAAACCACGGAGCACCCCCAUCCACCUGCUCCAUCCCAGGAAGAUGAAACGACAUCUUCCAGCGAGAGAACCUCGCCUCCUCCCCAUCUCAGAAGCCCCAGCUGCCUGCAGCCAAGGCCAAGCCAAAGAAGGCAAAAGGGCUCUUCAGCUGAAAGAUUGCUGAAGGCUCUGCUUCCCCCAGCAUCCAAGAGAUGGAGUGCAGAGCAGCCAUGCAUCGUCUGCCUCUUCUCUGCAUCUCCUGGUGGACCCUACCCAGGUCACGGUCCCCUCCCAAGAUGUCUUCAGUUGGGCAGAUGGAACUCCUUUCUUCAACAGUGUUUCAGGAAACAGCUUUUCUAACUCUUCCCUGGUCCAGAGCUCGCCCAGGCUUCAUCUCAUGGCAGAGCCAGUGCAAGACAUGGGAGAAGUGGGAGGGAUGCUGCCAGUGGGUGUGGGACAGCUGGGGCUCUGGCAGAGCCAAACUGUGGGGUUUGGCUGCUCUUGAGUGGGUUUUCAAUAAAGGGCUGUGUCAGGGUGAGAUUCCCUCUCUU